UUAAGCGACUAAGCGUACACGGUGGAUGCCCUGGCAGUCAGAGGCGAUGAAGGACGUGCUAAUCUGCGAUAAGCGUCGGUAAGGUGAUAUGAACCGUUAUAACCGGCGAUUUCCGAAUGGGGAAACCCAGUGUGUUUCGACACACUAUCAUUAACUGAAUCCAUAGGUUAAUGAGGCGAACCGGGGGAACUGAAACAUCUAAGUACCCCGAGGAAAAGAAAUCAACCGAGAUUCCCCCAGUAGCGGCGAGCGAACGGGGAGCAGCCCAGAGCCUGAAUCAGUGUGUGUGUUAGUGGAAGCGUCUGGAAAGGCGCGCGAUACAGGGUGACAGCCCCGUACACAAAAAUGCACAUGCUGUGAGCUCGAUGAGUAGGGCGGGACACGUGGUAUCCUGUCUGAAUAUGGGGGGACCAUCCUCCAAGGCUAAAUACUCCUGACUGACCGAUAGUGAACCAGUACCGUGAGGGAAAGGCGAAAAGAACCCCGGCGAGGGGAGUGAAAAAGAACCUGAAACCGUGUACGUACAAGCAGUGGGAGCACGCUUAGGCGUGUGACUGCGUACCUUUUGUAUAAUGGGUCAGCGACUUAUAUUCUGUAGCAAGGUUAACCGAAUAGGGGAGCCGAAGGGAAACCGAGUCUUAACUGGGCGUUAAGUUGCAGGGUAUAGACCCGAAACCCGGUGAUCUAGCCAUGGGCAGGUUGAAGGUUGGGUAACACUAACUGGAGGACCGAACCGACUAAUGUUGAAAAAUUAGCGGAUGACUUGUGGCUGGGGGUGAAAGGCCAAUCAAACCGGGAGAUAGCUGGUUCUCCCCGAAAGCUAUUUAGGUAGCGCCUCGUGAAUUCAUCUCCGGGGGUAGAGCACUGUUUCGGCAAGGGGGUCAUCCCGACUUACCAACCCGAUGCAAACUGCGAAUACCGGAGAAUGUUAUCACGGGAGACACACGGCGGGUGCUAACGUCCGUCGUGAAGAGGGAAACAACCCAGACCGCCAGCUAAGGUCCCAAAGUCAUGGUUAAGUGGGAAACGAUGUGGGAAGGCCCAGACAGCCAGGAUGUUGGCUUAGAAGCAGCCAUCAUUUAAAGAAAGCGUAAUAGCUCACUGGUCGAGUCGGCCUGCGCGGAAGAUGUAACGGGGCUAAACCAUGCACCGAAGCUGCGGCAGCGACACUAUGUGUUGUUGGGUAGGGGAGCGUUCUGUAAGCCUGUGAAGGUGUGCUGUGAGGCAUGCUGGAGGUAUCAGAAGUGCGAAUGCUGACAUAAGUAACGAUAAAGCGGGUGAAAAGCCCGCUCGCCGGAAGACCAAGGGUUCCUGUCCAACGUUAAUCGGGGCAGGGUGAGUCGACCCCUAAGGCGAGGCCGAAAGGCGUAGUCGAUGGGAAACAGGUUAAUAUUCCUGUACUUGGUGUUACUGCGAAGGGGGGACGGAGAAGGCUAUGUUGGCCGGGCGACGGUUGUCCCGGUUUAAGCGUGUAGGCUGGUUUUCCAGGCAAAUCCGGAAAAUCAAGGCUGAGGCGUGAUGACGAGGCACUACGGUGCUGAAGCAACAAAUGCCCUGCUUCCAGGAAAAGCCUCUAAGCAUCAGGUAACAUCAAAUCGUACCCCAAACCGACACAGGUGGUCAGGUAGAGAAUACCAAGGCGCUUGAGAGAACUCGGGUGAAGGAACUAGGCAAAAUGGUGCCGUAACUUCGGGAGAAGGCACGCUGAUAUGUAGGUGAAGUCCCUCGCGGAUGGAGCUGAAAUCAGUCGAAGAUACCAGCUGGCUGCAACUGUUUAUUAAAAACACAGCACUGUGCAAACACGAAAGUGGACGUAUACGGUGUGACGCCUGCCCGGUGCCGGAAGGUUAAUUGAUGGGGUCAGCGCAAGCGAAGCUCUUGAUCGAAGCCCCGGUAAACGGCGGCCGUAACUAUAACGGUCCUAAGGUAGCGAAAUUCCUUGUCGGGUAAGUUCCGACCUGCACGAAUGGCGUAAUGAUGGCCAGGCUGUCUCCACCCGAGACUCAGUGAAAUUGAACUCGCUGUGAAGAUGCAGUGUACCCGCGGCAAGACGGAAAGACCCCGUGAACCUUUACUAUAGCUUGACACUGAACAUUGAGCCUUGAUGUGUAGGAUAGGUGGGAGGCUUAGAAGUGUGGACGCCAGUCUGCAUGGAGCCGACCUUGAAAUACCACCCUUUAAUGUUUGAUGUUCUAACGUUGACCCGUAAUCCGGGUUGCGGACAGUGUCUGGUGGGUAGUUUGACUGGGGCGGUCUCCUCCUAAAGAGUAACGGAGGAGCACGAAGGUUGGCUAAUCCUGGUCGGACAUCAGGAGGUUAGUGCAAUGGCAUAAGCCAGCUUGACUGCGAGCGUGACGGCGCGAGCAGGUGCGAAAGCAGGUCAUAGUGAUCCGGUGGUUCUGAAUGGAAGGGCCAUCGCUCAACGGAUAAAAGGUACUCCGGGGAUAACAGGCUGAUACCGCCCAAGAGUUCAUAUCGACGGCGGUGUUUGGCACCUCGAUGUCGGCUCAUCACAUCCUGGGGCUGAAGUAGGUCCCAAGGGUAUGGCUGUUCGCCAUUUAAAGUGGUACGCGAGCUGGGUUUAGAACGUCGUGAGACAGUUCGGUCCCUAUCUGCCGUGGGCGCUGGAGAACUGAGGGGGGCUGCUCCUAGUACGAGAGGACCGGAGUGGACGCAUCACUGGUGUUCGGGUUGUCAUGCCAAUGGCACUGCCCGGUAGCUAAAUGCGGAAGAGAUAAGUGCUGAAAGCAUCUAAGCACGAAACUUGCCCCGAGAUGAGUUCUCCCUGACUCCUUGAGAGUCCUGAAGGAACGUUGAAGACGACGACGUUGAUAGGCCGGGUGUGUAAGCGCAGCGAUGCGUUGAGCUAACCGGUACUAAUGAACCGUGAGGCUUAACCU
RNAcentral lists this ribosomal RNA (2900 nucleotides) under Escherichia coli. Its description in RNAcentral is "23S ribosomal RNA". It matches the Rfam family "Bacterial large subunit ribosomal RNA". The record is from RNAcentral. Lineage: Bacteria; Pseudomonadati; Pseudomonadota; Gammaproteobacteria; Enterobacterales; Enterobacteriaceae.